AGGACGAACGCUGGCGGCGUGCUUAACACAUGCAAGUCGAGCGGAAAGGCCCUUCGGGGUACUCGAGCGGCGAACGGGUGAGUAACACGUGAGCAACCUGCCCUUAGCUUCGGGAUAGCUCCGGGAAACCGGAAUUAAUACCGAAUAUGACUUUGGCUGACAUCAGCAGAAGUGGAAAGUUUUUCGGCUAGGGAUGGACUCGCGGCCUAUCAGCUAGUUGGUGAGGUAACGGCCCACCAAGGCGACGACGGGUAGUCGGCCUGAGAGGGCGACCGGCCACACUGGGACUGAGACACGGCCCAGACUCCUACGGGAGGCAGCAGUGGGGAAUAUUGCGCAAUGGGCGAAAGCCUGACGCAGCGACGCCGCGUGGGGGAUGAAUGCCUUCGGGUUGUAAACCUCUUUCAGCAGGGACGAAGCGAAGUGACGGUACCUACAGAAGAAGCACCGGCCAACUACGCGCCAGCAGCCGC
Molecule: ribosomal RNA, 473 nt
Filed under: uncultured bacterium
Lineage: Bacteria
Description: SSU rRNA
Rfam family: Bacterial small subunit ribosomal RNA
Source: RNAcentral